RNAcentral lists this ribosomal RNA (253 nucleotides) under uncultured bacterium. RNAcentral's name for it is "partial 16S ribosomal RNA". It matches the Rfam family "Bacterial small subunit ribosomal RNA", at positions 524 to 776 of the family's 1533-position model. The record is from RNAcentral.
UACGUAGGGCGCAAGCGUUGUCCGGAAUUAUUGGGCGUAAAGAGCUCGUAGGCGGCUUGUCACGUCGAUUGUGAAAGCCCGAGGCUUAACCUCGGGUCUGCAGUCGAUACGGGCUAGCUAGAGUGUGGUAGGGGAGAUCGGAAUUCCUGGUGUAGCGGUGAAAUGCGCAGAUAUCAGGAGGAACACCGGUGGCGAAGGCGGAUCUCUGGGCCAUUACUGACGCUGAGGGGCGAAAGCGUGGGGAGCGAACAGG